AAGUAUGUAACUAUAUAAACAUAUGGUCCACAAAUUUUACGUACAUGUUGAGAAAAGUAGAAGACCGAUAAAUAUCGAAGCUGCUUU
RNAcentral lists this small nucleolar RNA (87 nucleotides) under Arabidopsis suecica. RNAcentral describes it as "snoR20". It matches the Rfam family "Small nucleolar RNA R20". Rfam says of the family: snoR20 is a member of the C/D class of snoRNA which contain the C (UGAUGA) and D (CUGA) box motifs. Most of the members of the box C/D family function in directing site-specific 2'-O-methylation of substrate RNAs. The record is from RNAcentral. Lineage: Eukaryota; Viridiplantae; Streptophyta; Magnoliopsida; Brassicales; Brassicaceae.